This 74-nucleotide transfer RNA is filed under the name Jaapia argillacea MUCL 33604. Its description in RNAcentral is "tRNA-Val (AAC) (tRNA-Val-AAC-3-1)". It matches the Rfam family "tRNA". Rfam says of the family: Transfer RNA (tRNA) molecules are approximately 80 nucleotides in length. Lineage: Eukaryota; Fungi; Basidiomycota; Agaricomycetes; Jaapiales; Jaapiaceae. The record is from RNAcentral.
GGCCUGAUGGCGUAGUUGGUUAUCGCAUCUGUCUAACACACAGAAGGUCUCAGGUUCGAGCCCUGGUCAAGUCA